UUUCCGUAGGUGAACCUGCGGAAGGAUCAUUAAAGCGUAAGGGUCUUCGGGCCCGAUCUCCAACCCUUUGUUUAACUACCAUGUUGCUUUGGCGGGCCCGUCUCACGACCGCCGGAAGUUUGGCUUCGACCAAACUUCUGGCCCGUGCCCGUCAGUGGCCCCUUCAAAUUCUUGAUCAAGUAUGAUGUCUUAGUUAAAAACUUAAUAGUUAAAACUUUCAACAACGGAUCUCUUGGUUCUG
RNAcentral lists this unclassified non-coding RNA (241 nucleotides) under plant metagenome. RNAcentral's name for it is "partial contains small subunit ribosomal RNA, internal transcribed spacer 1, and 5.8S ribosomal RNA". The record is from RNAcentral.